RNAcentral lists this transfer RNA (74 nucleotides) under Cetostoma regani (pink flabby whalefish). RNAcentral describes it as "tRNA-Leu (UUR)". It matches the Rfam family "tRNA". From Rfam's summary of the family: Transfer RNA (tRNA) molecules are approximately 80 nucleotides in length. Lineage: Eukaryota; Metazoa; Chordata; Actinopteri; Beryciformes; Cetomimidae. RNAcentral also lists the same sequence under 2 other names. The record is from RNAcentral.
GUUAAGGUGGCAGAGCCCGGCCAUUGCAAAAGACCUAAACUCUUCGAAUAGAGGUUCAAAUCCUCUCCUUAACU